CCACCACCACGCCCAGCUAAUUAUUGUAUUUUUAGUAGAGAUGGGGUUUUGCCAUGUUGGCCAGGCUGGUCUCGAACUCCUGACCUCAGGUGAUCUGCCCACCUUGGCCUCCCAAAGUGUUGGGAUUACCACAUGCGGCCUCUGGUUCUGAUACUUUAUGGUUCCAUUGAAAGUUGUGUUUGUGCCAGACAGCAACUCACGCCUAUAAUCUCAGCACUUCGGGAGGCAGAGGUGGGAGGAUCUCGAGUCCAGGGGUUUGAGACCAGCUUUGACAACAUAGGGAGACCUCAUCUCUACAAAAAAUUUAAAAAUUAGCCAGGCAUGGUGGCACGCAUCUGUAGUCCCACCUAUUUGGAAGGCUGAAGCAGGAGGAUUACUUGAGCCCAGGAGUUUGAGGCUGCAGUGAGCUAUGACUGCACCACUGCACUCCAACCUGGGCCACAGAGCAAAGACCUCAUCUCUAAAAAAAAAAAGGAAAGUUAUGUUUGUAAUUAUACUUUUAUUUCCAAGGUAAACCGUAUUUAAAAAAAGAAAACACAUUUUGUUUCAGGAGCCGUGUUGGGAACAGGCCUCCAAAUCUGGCCAUAAACAAAAUCUCUGCAGCACAGUGACAUGUUCACGAUGGCCAUGAGGCCCACGCUGAAGGUUGUGGGUUUACCGGAAUGAGGGCAAGGAACACCUGGCUCACCCAGGGUGGAAAACCGCUUAAAGGCGUUCUUAAACCACAAACAAUGGCAUGAGCGACCUGUGCCUUAAGGACAUGCUCCUGCCGCAGAUAACUAGCCAGAGCCCAUCCCUUUGUUUUGGCCCAUCCCUUUGUUUCCCAUAAGGAAUACUUUUAGUUAAUCUAUAAUCUAUAGAAACAAUGCUUAACACUGGCUUACUGUCAAUAAACAUGUGGGUCAAACUCUGUUUGGGGCUCUCAGCUCUGAAGGCUGUGAGUCCCCUGAUUUCCCACUCCACACUCUAUGUUUGUGUGUGUGUGUCUUUAAUUCCUCUAGCGCCGCUGGGUUAGGGUCUCCACGACCGAGCUGGUCUUGGCAGAGCCAGGCUGCUAUGAACUGUGAUCAAGCCACUGCACUCCAGCUUGGGCAACAGAGCAAGACCCUUUCUCGAAAAAAGUUUGAAGACAUCAGUUUACUUUAGAAUUGUAAGUCAGUAAGGCAGGCGUUAAGUGAUGCAUAAUAUGAUACCUAUUCACAGACACCCAUUCACAGAUCUUAGAAGGGCCUCAGACCAAUGUACAUACCAAAAAGCCUCUUUUAGCUGGGUACAGGGAUUCAUGCCUGUAAUCUCAGCGUUCUGGGAGGCCGAGGCAGGUAGAUCACUUGAGCCUAGGAGUUCAAGACCAGCCUGGGCAACACAGAAAGACCUCGUCUCUACAAACAAUUUAAAAUUCAGCCAGGCAUGGUGGUGUGCACCAGUAGACCCAGCUACUUGGGAGGCUGAGGUGGGAGGAUCGCUUAGUCCAGGAGUUCGAGGCUGAAGGCAGCUAUGUUCAAGCUACUGCAGUCCAGUCUGGGCAACAGAGCAAGACCCUGUCUCUUAAAAAAAAAAAAAAAAACAGUUGGGGAAGGGGCCAGGUGUGGUGGCUCACGCCUAUAAUCCC
This 1609-nucleotide long non-coding RNA is filed under the name Homo sapiens (human). RNAcentral's name for it is "HSALNT0339048". Lineage: Eukaryota; Metazoa; Chordata; Mammalia; Primates; Hominidae. The record is from RNAcentral.